AUGAGAUGUGGCCUUUGGAACUGGGGCCAUUUCAGGCAUUGCGUGUCAGAGCAUGCCUCACUACUUCCUGUCUGCAGGUCAAAUGAUGGGGAAACAACAACCCCCUCUGCAGUUGCACACAAUUCACUGACCUCUCAUCCAAGCAUCACCAAUGGACCUGAAGAUGAUGGAUCAUCGCGCUUUUUUCUCCGCGGCGCCUUUUCUCUGCCAUGCCGAUGAAUUCCAUCCACCGCUUUUCGCUUGAGCCCUUGCAUAAUUCUGCGAAUCCUUGUGGCUGAGAUUACUCCUUGUUCAUCUUUCCAGCACAGUUUCAUCGCCUGUAUCAACCACUCUAUCACUAGUCCUAACCCACGGGCUGUCUGAAGAAAUCAUCCAUGGCGGAAAAGGCAGAUGAAUGGCCAUGAUUGCGAGCGUGUCGUUUAGCACAGCAGCAGAUGACAAGGUAGCAACUCCUAUGAGGUGAGCCUGUGAACCUGCAUUGCAUCUAGAGGAAUUCUAUGGUGGUUAUGGCAUAUUCAUUCAGUAGGUCAAUGCUUCAGGGCCGGCCAAUGCUUCGGUGGUGUAAUCUAAAGCUGAAAUCAUGGCUGCAGUUGAAAGAGGAAUGUGACUACUGUGCUGUGGUACCACCCUUCUGCACUUUCUACCAACUGCAGUCAUUUGCUGCAGUUGUUCCAAUUGUUCCUUGCAUCAGAUAAAAACUGCACCAUAAAGAACCUUUCCCUCUAUAGUAACAUGAGCAAGUGCAAUUGUAG
RNAcentral lists this long non-coding RNA (752 nucleotides) under Setaria italica (foxtail millet). RNAcentral describes it as "long non-coding RNA (SITA_LNC002494)". Lineage: Eukaryota; Viridiplantae; Streptophyta; Magnoliopsida; Poales; Poaceae. The record is from RNAcentral.